UCCCCUUCAAUAUACUCCCCUCCACUCACCACACACCGUUUCAUUCGUUUCUUCCAUUACUCGAGGCAGUGCUGGAAGUCUGUUUUCGUAAGACCAUUCAGGAGUUCAGCCGAUUUUAGUUUCACCUCUUCCAUCGAUUCAAACCGGAUUCCUUUUAAGGAAGACUUUAUCUUCGGAAACAAGUAAAAGUCACAGGGUGCCAAGUCGGGUGAAUAAGACGCGUGUUCGAGUACUGGAGUACCUUAAGCGGCCAAAUAACGCUUCACAGACAGCGCGUUAUGGGCAGAUGCGUUAUCCUGGUGCAAGAUCCACGACUUGUUUUUCC
Cinara cedri is the source of this 325-nucleotide non-coding RNA. The record is from the annotation of a GenBank genome assembly. NCBI's taxonomy places the organism in Eukaryota, Metazoa, Arthropoda, Insecta, Hemiptera, Aphididae.